ACCAACAUGGCUCAGAGGUUAAAGCGUCUGCCUGCAAUGCGGGAGACCUGGGUUUGAUCCCUGGGUCGGGA
This 71-nucleotide transfer RNA is filed under the name Ovis aries (sheep). It matches the Rfam family "tRNA". Rfam says of the family: Transfer RNA (tRNA) molecules are approximately 80 nucleotides in length. Lineage: Eukaryota; Metazoa; Chordata; Mammalia; Artiodactyla; Bovidae. The record is from Rfam by way of RNAcentral.